AGCUCCAAUAGCGUAUAUUAAAGUUGUUGCAGUUAAAAAGCUCGUAGUUGAACUUCUUGGCAUCCUUUAAGCAGGCUUCGGUCGUUUCAAGGGUGUCAAUCCGCUAGGGAACUACAUUCGCACUUCACUGUGCGGUGUAAGGAACUGGCAUUUUACUUAGAAAAAAUUAGAGUGUUCAAGGCAGGCUAUCGCCCUGAAUACACAAGCUUGGAAUAAUGAAAUAGGACUAUUUCCAUUUUAUUGGUUAUUGGAUUUAGUAAUGAUUAAUAGGGACAGUUGGGGGCAUUUGUAUUUAAUAGUCAGAGGUGAAAUUCUUGGAUUUAUUAAAGACAAACUUAUGCGAAAGCAUUUGCCAAGGAUGUUUUCAUUA
RNAcentral lists this ribosomal RNA (370 nucleotides) under Askenasia sp. Its description in RNAcentral is "partial small subunit ribosomal RNA". It matches the Rfam family "Eukaryotic small subunit ribosomal RNA", at positions 587 to 975 of the family's 1831-position model. Lineage: Eukaryota; Ciliophora; Litostomatea; Cyclotrichida; Mesodiniidae. The record is from RNAcentral.